Molecule: microRNA precursor, 102 nt
Filed under: Marmota monax (woodchuck)
Lineage: Eukaryota; Metazoa; Chordata; Mammalia; Rodentia; Sciuridae
Source: RNAcentral
AGUGGGAUAACUGGGUCAAAUGGUGGUUCCAUUCCAGGUUUUCUAAGGAAUCUCCAUAUUCCUUUACAUAGUGGUUGCACAAUUUGCAGUCUCACCAGAAAU